This is a long non-coding RNA of Pungitius pungitius (ninespine stickleback), 634 nucleotides long. RefSeq lists it as uncharacterized. The record is from RefSeq and is a predicted model, not a curated record. The transcript has 2 exons. Lineage: Eukaryota; Metazoa; Chordata; Actinopteri; Perciformes; Gasterosteidae.
UGUUAUUAUCUGAAGGAAUCAAAGCUUUCAUAUUUAGGAGAAAACAAGCAAAACAAUCAUGUUCAAUCGAGUUAAAUGCGACAGUAAUUUCAGAAAUUUAGGAGUGUGUCAUCUUAUGCAUUUGAUUCUCUCUUUUAACAUGAGCAAAGCGACGAGCUGGGCGAGAGACAGAGGGGAGAGAAGGAGUGAGAGAGAGCGAAGUAGUGCGUUGUAAGUACUGAAGGCUCUGCAUAAGAGGUGGUGUGUAGAAGAAAGGGGGAAGCUGGUCCAGAAGACGGCAGCAACUGUUAAUUCCCACGUGGUCACACUCAUCAAACACCUCCUGGACUUUGAGUUGCGCUUUAUGAGCCCAACUGCAUAUUUCCACAGAGGACCUCACACAGAGGGGAACACCAGGAUGCAGUGUGCUAUCUCUCCUUUCUCCCUAGGUAACACGUUUUAAAAUUGUGUACUGUUAAUUUCCCUAAACAUGCAGUUCCAGACUUUUUCUUUUACAUUAGUAUUUGUCAAGUUGUAGAUUGUUGAGUAUUCUGUUCUGAUUAUAUUGCACACUAAUUGGUUUUCAUUAGAAAAUGUGAUCCCUUUUGAACGUGUUAGACAUUGCCUCAGCUUUAAUAAAAGCAUAUUACUGUAA